GCAGCCUUGAGAACAUUCGUCCUGACAACGAUAGGAACCCAAAUUCGAUUCUGAAAUCUAAACAACCCGGCAUUUGAGAUCCUGAAAUUAAGAAGUUCAUUAAAAAAGAAUUUACUCAAAUUCUUAGUGAGUUCUUAGUCCAUGGACUAAGCUUCCCAAAUCUUCAUGAAAAGAUCACGCAAGACUCAUAUCUGAGCAAGAUAGGUACCU
This 210-nucleotide long non-coding RNA is filed under the name Carica papaya (papaya). RNAcentral describes it as "long non-coding RNA (CPAP_LNC011594)". Lineage: Eukaryota; Viridiplantae; Streptophyta; Magnoliopsida; Brassicales; Caricaceae. The record is from RNAcentral.